GAUGAACGCUGGCGGCGUGCCUAAUACAUGCAAGUCGAGCGAACGGACGAGAAGCUUGCUUCUCUGAUGUUAGCGGCGGACGGGUGAGUAACACGUGGAUAACCUACCUAUAAGACUGGGAUAACUUCGGGAAACCGGAGCUAAUACCGGAUAAUAUUUUGAACCGCAUGGUUCAAAAGUGAAAGACGGUCUUGCUGUCACUUAUAGAUGGAUCCGCGCUGCAUUAGCUAGUUGGUAAGGUAACGGCUUACCAAGGCAACGAUGCAUAGCCGACCUGAGAGGGUGAUCCGCCACACUGGAGCUGAGCCCCGGUCCAGACUCCUACGGGAGGCAGCCGUAGGGAAUCUUCCGCAAUGGGCGAAAGCCUGACGGAGCAACGCCACGUGAGUGAUGAAGGUCUUCGGAUCGUAAAACUCUGUUAUUAGGGAAGAACAUAUGUGCAAGUAACUGUGCACAUCUUGACGGUACCUAAUCAGAAAGCCACGGCUAACUACGUG
RNAcentral lists this ribosomal RNA (497 nucleotides) under uncultured bacterium. RNAcentral's name for it is "partial 16S ribosomal RNA". It matches the Rfam family "Bacterial small subunit ribosomal RNA", at positions 28 to 507 of the family's 1533-position model. The record is from RNAcentral.